GGUACUAAAUUGAUAAAUUGUAGUGGCAAACCUGAUAACUCAUGUUCUUUACCAAACUGCCCUGGAAUCUCAACCUUGCCUUCAUUCUACAUCGUUCUCUUCUUGGGGUCGCUGAGUGAAGUAGGAAGGAGCUACAAAUAACAACUUAAAAAAUCAUCAUGGACAAAAACUCCAACAAAACUGCCCAUAAGGUCAUUGACCAAUAUGGAAAAGAAAUUGCUGAAAUUCCAGGAGGCAAUGAGGUCAUGGGCUUCAAACCUCAAGGUCCUGAAAAAGCGAGUCUCGCUGCUCAGGCCCAAAGUCAUUUGGGCAAUGUAGACAAAAGCACCAAUUUUGCUGCCAUCCAACGAAACGCAAUGAAAAAAUAGUGAUGAUGCAGCAUCCACCAGUGUUCAGUGAUUUUAUCUUCCUUCAGUAUUCCUUGUUGUUUUAAACGAAACACCAAUUUAACUAGUUUGAUUUUUUCUUUUAAUAUUUGAGUUUCAUGAACACUGCUUUUUAUUCAAUAAAAUGUAAUUUAUCACUUUA
Homalodisca vitripennis (glassy-winged sharpshooter) is the source of this 528-nucleotide long non-coding RNA. RefSeq lists it as uncharacterized. The record is from RefSeq and is a predicted model, not a curated record. The transcript is spliced from 3 exons. NCBI's taxonomy places the organism in Eukaryota, Metazoa, Arthropoda, Insecta, Hemiptera, Cicadellidae.